CCUUAGGUCAAAAGUGUACUUUGAGAUUGGUUCUCAUGUAGCCCAGGCUGGCCUUGAGCAUGACAAGCUCUAGAGAAUGAUCUUCUGCCACCUCCAGAGUCCUGAGAUUACAGGCAUCUGCCACCAUUUAUAUGGAGGCAAGGAUUGGCCCCGGGGUCUCAUGCAUAGUAGGUGAACUCAGUACCAACCGAGUCAUGUCCCCCAGUCCUCCUUCAAGCAGCACUUUAAUAUGUGUUUUCCCUUUUUUCACAAUGCAUCUAUGCAGUUUGGGAAUUGGUUUGUUUAGUGUGUUUUAAACAUUUCAUGAAGGUGUGUUCUUGUUUCUGUUUUUCAAUAGGGCCUUAGCUCUGCAGCCAAGUUGGCUUCAAACUCAGGAUCCCCCAACUUGGCCUCCUGAGUGCUGAGAUUACAGGCAGACUACCAUCUCUCAGUGCGCUCUUGCUGUCUUUGUGCUAUUUUCCUUGUCUCACAUGUUUUUAGUUGUUAUCUUACUUGGGAGGGCGGUGGGUUUUUUCGAGACAGGGUUUCUCUGUGUAGCCCUGGCUGUCCUAGAACCCACUCUGUAGACCAGGCUGGCCUCGAACUCAGAAAUCCACCUGCCACUGUUAUCUUACUUUUUUUUGUAAAGGUAAUAAGUUUAUCUGAAAAUGCAUCCUGUUGAGUUCAAACAAGGUGUUUCCAAUGCAGAGAAUAUCCUGUGAAGAGGUGACUGUGAGAGCAUUAGAGAGGAGCUGGUGCUGUCUGUUUACCCAGUGUCCAAGCACCUGCAGGCCUUCCAUGGUAGGAAUGUCAGGAAGGAAGUAGGCAUGUCUGGGUGGAAACUUGCCUGAGAGAAAAGUCCCAUUCUCUGACAGAAGGUGGGAACAUCUUUUAGGAGAGAAAAGUAGACUAGUACGAAGCAGGAACUGUACUGCUCUUAUCCUUUGAAGGUCAGCCUGCAGCAUCUGGGGUUGCUCAGGGCUUUGCAGACUCUUCCUUAGGUUUCUUAGAGUCUGAGAAAGGUCAUGCAUGCAUCAGGAUGGUGGGGCUUGCACUCUUAAGGGUCUAUUAAAGAUUUCCUUGGGAAAGAUUUUUUUUUCCUCUUACUUUCCCAUCAUUAUUUCUGUUGAGAAGAUAGAUUUUUGAAAAGGCAUUAUUGUUGUUGUUUUGGAGGGGAUAUCAUGUGGAAGAAGUUGCUGGCCUGCCUUAGGUUGAUUGAUCUAGGGAGCAGCUGUCACCUCUUGUGAGUCCUGCUGUUUUCCUGCUAUCCUGCGUCCGUCCCUGCCUCCAGCUUAUCUCAUUCUCUCCCAGACUCACUAACAUAGCAUCUUAGUGAGUGCUCUCUCAUCUUGCCAGCUGCUUUCCACACUGCUGUGGUGUCUUUGUAACGUCAGUGGAUCCCAUAUCAACUUCCCCCCAUCAGUGUUCUCCAUCAUCCUGGACAAAGGUGAAUGCUAUUGCAUGCAGAGUCUGGUGUUGUCUAGCCUUGCCUUUUAAUGUUUUCUUCAGCUCAUGAUCAGAAUUGCUACCAUUCCUCAAAAAUCUUCCCUGGAACCCUCUCUGGUCUGUCCUCCAAACCAGAGCCCAGCUGAACUGUGUGUCUGUGUGCCCUGCACCUUUCUUGACAAGCACUCUAUGCACCGGACCCUGAUUGUUUGCUUCCUCAGUAGACCCUAAGUUCCUCAGGGGGAGACACUGGGUCUUCAGCAUUGUUUCUUUCAAGCCAAGUGCACAAGACUCUAGUAAAUGGUUAUAAAUGAAUGAAUAGUGUAAAACACUCAAAAGACCCCAUCCCUCAACAGCUCUAUUUAGCCAUGGAAAUGUGGAAUGUGUACAUAGAAAAGGAGAGAUGCAUAUAAUACUAAGGUCCUAAACAAGCUUUCAGUAUCUGGAUGGGAACAAAUGCCCUAUGUCUUUGGUAUGGGGUUAAGGGAAGAGUACAUGUGACUUCUAGCUACCAGCCAGCAGAAUGAAAGGCAGGAGUCAGCCUAGAAAGGCUGGUAGGAAAAUUGAUGUCUUUCAGGUGGAAGCUAACAACAGAGUUUCCAGUACAUCUUCCCCACACUGGAAAAAGAAAGCAACAAAAUACUGUGUUUCCUCUGUCAUGGUGCCAUCUACGGUCACAGUGGUUCUUCUCAAACCACAGUUAAGCCUGUCUAGAACCAUCUUCACAGAUGUACCCUGAGACCUGUCUUCUAGGUGAUAGUAAACCCAGUCAAGCUAACAAUGAAGGUAAACAAUCAUACUGUCUGUCCAAAGUAUUUGUGACAUACCCACCAAAGGUCCUUUAAAGGUGAAAGGGCAUAGUGUUAUAAAAGAGAUCAGUAAAGCCCCAGGGGAGGGUUCAGGGUAACUGAGCCUGUGAAUUGUAGUUUGCUCUUCACAGCUCUCUGAGAGGUCUAGUGGAGUCCCAAUCACCUGAAGUGGGCCCCAAGUUACUAUAGCCAGCCUCUGUGGUGUUGAGUCCCAUUCCUACAGCUCCAUCCUUCUAAAUACAUAGGCAGUGGCAACAAGCAUGAGUAGUGGGGACAAGUAGCUAUUUCAGCAAAGUACCAAAUUCACCCUUGGCUUUACAUCUUACCUCCAUGUAAAAGAAUCAAAACAAGGAUCCUUACUUCUCAUCUGUCAGUGUUGGAGUCUAGGCUAGCUUCAGUGUAUCAUCCCCUCAGUAGCACACUCCUGCACCGGGUCUCACAAAAUCUUGAGCAAUAGCUGUCCAUGUAUCAUCCCCUCAGUAGCACACUCCUGCACUGGGUCUCACAUAAUCUUGAGCAAUAGCUGUCCAGCAUUAGGGAGCACUUGAGAAUGUGAUGCACUGUUCAGAAAAAACCAACACAGUUUUUCCUGGAACUAAUUUUUUUUUUCCAAAAAAUUCCACCAAGCUGUUAAAUGGAAAAUAGCUGCUAAGAGUUUGGACAUGCAAAUAUUUUCAGCUCUAUAACCAACCAAGCAAACUAUAGUGUCACCCUGAUGGGGGAACAGUGGGACAAAAGGCCACCUAAUGCCUGAACUGACUCCUCCCAGCUGUUGGUGAACUCCCAGAUUGCCCAAUCCAGUGGGAAAGCACUUUAUUUGGACCUAGCACACAGCACAGUGUCUUCAGUGAACAAGGUGCCAGUCCAGCGUCUGCAGGCAACAUGGCCAGAGUGGCUCUGAGCAAGUUCCUCCACUCCUCUGGGUGCCCAUUUCCUUGACUGU
This is a long non-coding RNA of Mastomys coucha (southern multimammate mouse), 3177 nucleotides long. RefSeq lists it as uncharacterized. The transcript has 2 exons. The record is from RefSeq and is a predicted model, not a curated record. NCBI's taxonomy places the organism in Eukaryota, Metazoa, Chordata, Mammalia, Rodentia, Muridae.